UACGUAGGGGGCAAGCGUUGUCCGGAAUUAUUGGGCGUAAAGCGCGCGUAGGCGGCCAGAUAAGUCCGCUGUGAAAACUCGAGGCUCAACUUCGAGCUGUCGGUGGAAACUUUCUGGCUAGAGUCCGGAAGAGGAGAAUGGAAUUCCUGGUGUAGCGGUGAAAUGCGCAGAUAUCAGGAAGAACACCCGUGGCGAAGGCGGUUCGCUGGGACGGGACUGACGCUGAGACGCGAAAGCGUGGGGAGCGAACAGG
Molecule: ribosomal RNA, 253 nt
Filed under: uncultured bacterium
Lineage: Bacteria
Description: partial 16S ribosomal RNA
Rfam family: Bacterial small subunit ribosomal RNA
Source: RNAcentral